AGCGGGCUAGGAAAGCUGUGGGAGAAAGCCCAGGAUGCCCUCGGAGUGGGGGCAGAGGGGGCGUGGCCCAGGCCUCAACCAUCCCGCCCGGGGGCGGCAGGAGGACGAGGCUGGACUCUUUUCAGGACUUUCGCGGGAAACGGCGCCGUCCGAAACCGAAACAGCUCCUGAGGAAAUCCUUCUUGACCUCUGUAGCUAGGGCGUGAGUAUCGGAAGAGCGAGGGUCUCCGGUUUCUUGGUCCCUCUCCCCCCGCAGACGGGAAUGGAAGGAGCUGGCAUGUCACGUGACCAAGUCUGAAGUCACGUGACGAGGAAUUAGCCGUGACCAGGCCUUGGGCAAAAAAGUCUAAUUGGCGGAGCUCUUGGGAGCUGGGGCGAUGGGCUCUUAGGAUCGGAGGAUUGGAACCAUCCGAUUUUUACCUCUAAUUCCUUAGUCUCUCCUGGGUUGGGGAAAUGGUCACCUUGCAUUCGGGGACCUGGGCUUUCAGCUGUCCAUACCUGGCCCUGGUUGAUGGCGGCAUGCUGGGCAGUGCAUGUGAAGACGCACAUGGGGCUGUGGUGCUGCUCACCUAAGGAUGUUGGAGAGUGUCCAGUCCACGCAAGAGUCCUGGAAUAGUAGCUGUCCGCUUCAUUGUUUCCACCUUGAGUAUAGAGACCGGGACUUGCUGUGUUGCCCAGGCUGGUCUUGAACUCCUGGUCUUAAGCAAUCAUACUGCUUUAGCCACCCGAAGCACUGGGAUUACAGGCAUGAACCACCACACCCAGCUCUUAAAACCACAGUAUUUCUAGGUCAGUAUAACACACCCGCCCCAUGGACUUAUAGGUGUGGCAGAAGCUUGGACUUCUGGCUUUUCUCUCUCUUACACCCAGGCACACUGCAGCUACCGUGUCCUCCCUUCACUACAUUUUAGAUUCUUUUCAUUCCUGUCAUUAGCAUGCUAACAUACAUCUCUCUCCACCUUACUGUUGGGCAGGUAUGAGUGGCUUGCUGGUUGCUCUUCCUUGUCUUUUGAUCUGUUUCUACUUAGCUGACUCCUCAGUUGGGGAGAAACAUUCUUCAUCAAUACUAGACUGUUAUAGGCUGUCCCCCUGUGAUUUCAAACUCUAGUACCAGAUACUGUUCUCUGGUUGGUUCUUAUGGGCACCACUUGUUUUUCUGGCUGAAUGCUAAAUCUAAGGUAGGAAUACGGCUUUUGUUUUACUAAUAGUGUUCCAGCCCUGCUGUGAGCGCACUGCUAGACGGUCAGAUCUCUGAGAAUUUCAGAGGGUUCCUGUAUAAUGUUAAGUGACUAAACUUAAUACACAUAAUUAAAAUCAACAUCUCAAGGUAU
This is a long non-coding RNA of Piliocolobus tephrosceles (Ugandan red Colobus), 1331 nucleotides long. RefSeq lists it as uncharacterized. The record is from RefSeq and is a predicted model, not a curated record. The transcript has 4 exons. NCBI's taxonomy places the organism in Eukaryota, Metazoa, Chordata, Mammalia, Primates, Cercopithecidae.